UGGGGAAUAUUGGACAAUGGGCGCAAGCCUGAUCCAGCAAUGCCGCGUGUGUGAAGAAGGCCUUCGGGUUGUAAAGCACUUUUAUCAGGAGCGAAACGCUGUCGGCUAAUACCCGGCGGAACUGACGGUACCUGAGGAAUAAGCACCGGCUAACUUCGUGCCAGCAGCCGCGGUAAUACGAAGGGUGCAAGCGUUAAUCGGAAUUACUGGGCGUAAAGCGUGCGUAGGCGGUUUCUUAAGUCUGCUGUGAAAUCCCCGGGCUCAACCUGGGAAUGGCAGUGGAUACUGGGAGGCUAGAGUGUGUCAGAGGGUGGUGGAAUUCCCGGUGUAGCGGUGAAAUGCGUAGAGAUCGGGAGGAACAUCAGUGGCGAAGGCGGCCACCUGGGACAACACUGACGCUGAGGCACGAAAGCGUGGGGAGCAAACAGGAUUAGAUACCCUGGUAGUCCACGCCCUAAAGCGAUGCGAACUGGAUGUUGGUCUCAACUCGGAGAUCAGUGUCGAAGCUAACGCGUUAAGUUCGCCGCCUGGGGAGUACGGUCGCAAGACUGAAACUCAAAUGAAUUGACGGGGUC
RNAcentral lists this ribosomal RNA (575 nucleotides) under uncultured bacterium. RNAcentral's name for it is "partial 16S ribosomal RNA". It matches the Rfam family "Bacterial small subunit ribosomal RNA", at positions 355 to 920 of the family's 1533-position model. The record is from RNAcentral.